RNAcentral lists this ribosomal RNA (484 nucleotides) under uncultured bacterium. Its description in RNAcentral is "partial 16S ribosomal RNA". It matches the Rfam family "Bacterial small subunit ribosomal RNA", at positions 29 to 507 of the family's 1533-position model. The record is from RNAcentral.
AUUGAACACUGGCGGCAGGCCUAACACAUGCAAGUCGAGCGGAUGAAGCGAGCUUGCUCCUGGAUUCAGCGGCGGACGGGUGAGUACUGCCUAGGAAUCUGCCUGGUAGUGGGGGAUAACGUCCGGAAACGGGCGCUAAUACCGCAUACGACCUGAGGGAGCAAGUGGGUGAUCUUCGGACCUCACGCUAUCAGAUGAGCCUAGGUCGGAUGAGCUAGUUGGUGGGGUAAAGGCCUACCAAGGCGACGAGGCGUAACUGGUCUCAGAGGAUGAUCAGUCAGACGGGAACUGAGACACGGUCCAGACUCCUGCGGGAGGAAGCAGUGGGGAAUAUUGGACGAUGGGCGAGAGCCUGAUCCAGCCAUGCCGCGGGUGUGAAGAAGGUCUUCGGAUGGGAGAGCACUGUAGGUUGGGAGGAAGGGCAGCAAGUUAAUACCGGACUGUUUUGACGUUACCGACAGAAUAAGCACCGGCUAACUUCGUG